This 358-nucleotide ribosomal RNA is filed under the name uncultured bacterium. RNAcentral describes it as "partial 16S ribosomal RNA". It matches the Rfam family "Bacterial small subunit ribosomal RNA", at positions 338 to 694 of the family's 1533-position model. The record is from RNAcentral.
CCUACGGGAGGCAGCAGUGAGGAAUAUUGGUCAAUGGGCGGAAGCCUGAACCAGCCAAGUAGCGUGCGGGAUGAAGGCCCUACGGGUCGUAAACCGCUUUUGCACGGGGAUAACACCCUCCACUUGUGGAGGUCUGCAGGUACCGUGCGAAUAAGGGCCGGCUAAUUCCGUGCCAGCAGCCGCGGUAAUACGGAAGGCCCGAGCGUUAUCCGGAUUCAUUGGGCUUAAAGGGAGCGUAGGCGGGCGUUCAAGUCAGCUGUAAAAUCGCGCGGCACAACCGCGCCCCGCAGUGGAAACUGGACGCAUUGAGUUAACAACAGCACGGGGGAAUUCGUGGGGGAGCGGUGAAAGGAAUAGA